This 5282-nucleotide long non-coding RNA is filed under the name Lupinus angustifolius (narrow-leaved blue lupine). RNAcentral describes it as "long non-coding RNA (LANG_LNC002820)". The record is from RNAcentral. Lineage: Eukaryota; Viridiplantae; Streptophyta; Magnoliopsida; Fabales; Fabaceae.
CCAAAGGAGCAACUUUGGUGGCAUGGAAUAAAACAUUUAGGUCGAAGAAUAAAGUAACUUCUUUUCCUUAUUCUAUUUAAUUUUUUCCUUAUAUAUGCUUAGAUUUAUAUUUAUGUUUGUUGAUUUUGUAUAAACAUGUGGGUAUAAGAUAAUGAAUAUUUUAUGAAUUCUGUAUCGCCUUUUCUCUUCCUAUUUUAUGAAUUUUCGUAUUGCCUUUUCUCUUCCUAUUUUAUGAAUUUGUGUAUUGCCUUUUUUCUUCCUCUUUUAUCAUUUGUUUUCUUGGUUUUUCCUUAUAAUUUAUUAUCUAAGCUUCUCGAGAAACUUAAUUCUAUUACUUUUUUUUAAAGUUUAUAAUAGCCAUGUUCAUCGUUAGUGCUAUAGAUCUUCCUCACUCUUAUGUAUUUUAGAAAUUUGUUUUCAUUUCAACAUAACUCCCUAUCUAUUUAUGUUACAUUUUUGGUCUGGUGGGUUCUAGACUGAAAUCUGUGAAAAGUUCCGUAUUGAAGAUAUGUUAUAGGUUAUAAUUUUUCCUUCGGAAUAAUUUACAAUCAUAUUUGUAUUUAAUUUCAUGGUAAAAUUAUUUGAUUUUUUGUUUUGAUAGGUUGAUCAUUGUGAAGUUUAAUCUCAAAAAAAGUUCUAUCCAGAUUUUUUCUAACCUUAUGGAUAAAGAACUAAUCCCUUUCACGAACUGUUUCUCCUAAUAAAUAUUACUCUUAGAAGUCGAACCCUGAAGUUUUGUCCUUUUCAAGUCAAAUGAACUAUUAGAAACGAAUAAUUAUGGUUGAAGAUAUGCAUAUAAUGAGAGGAACCUCAAGUGGUUGUAAUUAGAUUCUUGUUUUAUAAAGCCUUGAUUGCAGCAUUUUGGAGAUGCCACAACCACAUUGGAGAAUAUUGGAAUGACAAGUGGAGAUGUUACAACAAAACCACAUUCGGUAAGUCCCUGAAUAUUUUACAUCUGUAUACAACAUAAAAAGCAAGAAUUUAUAUAAGAGUGAGGAUCCACUUACUCUAAGAUUUAAACUUCCUUAUCCUAGCCAUCAAUCCUAGGGAAAUCUAAUGGUUUAAAUUUACUCACUACUUCAAACCAUUAGAUUUCCCAAGAAUUGAUGGCUAAGAUAGGUUGGAGUAAGUGGAUCCCACCUCUUUAUAUAAUAGUACUUUUUGAAGAAAAUAGGAGGAGCCCUUACCAUUGUAUAAUAGUUGCUUGCUUAUACAAAUAUGUGAAAAUUUUGAAUAACUUAUUUUUCAUAUACACUAGUUUAAGACAUGUAUAUAGCCUUAUCCCUCUGUAUCCUUAAAUAGUUGAAGAAUUGUCAUUCCACAUAGUUCUUGAAUACACAGAUAAAGGUUCUACCUUGUUUUGCCAUCCCAAAUCUGACAAACUUUAACCUCAAAUUGGAAUCCACCAUCAUUUUUUAUCAUUAAUUGUCGUUGAACAAAAUCCACUAAACAGACUAUAACUACCUUCUUUUUUUUGCAUUUCCAUGUAAGAUUGCUUUAGUAGAUUAGGUCAAAAUAUGACCAUCUUUGGGAAGCAACAUUGGAAAUUUUAAUAGUUAAGUUUUGCUAGGUAUACACAGUUACAUGCUAAAGACAUUGUCCAUUUGUUAUUGAAUUUUUACAAGUCUGAAUACAUUUGUAAUCUUUACUUUAAUUUUGUUGUUAAGCUAAUUUUAAAUAUUGGAUAUUUUUUAAGCGAUAUUAAAGUAGUAAAAUAUUUUUGGAUUCUAGUAUGACAUCAAAGUUUGUUAUUUUGGGAUGACAAAGCAUGAUAAAGCUUAUAUUUUCCUGCUUGUGCUAAUGUUAAUGGCCUAAUAAUGUUUAGGACAUUUUAUAUUUGGAAUACAUUUUACUAUAUUGUCUUCAUUUUAACAAGAGGCUAUGGCUUCUUAUCUUCCUCCUUUUGAAUAAUUUUUUUAUAAGCAAGUAGUCUUGUCCAUUCUACUUCAAAAGAAGUUCUAAAUUGGUGACACAUGAGGUGAGUUUUUAAUCUGUUUUCUAUUCAAAAUAACAUUUUUUAUUCAGGCUUUUCUAGAAGUUUGCACUCAAUGAAAUUACUUCAACAAUCCGGAUUAUCAAAAAAAUUAAAUUGUUAUAAUUAGAUUCGUGUUUUAUAAAUAUAUUGCACCAUUUUGGAGAUGCCACAACAAAACCACAUUGGAGACAUUUUGAAUGGUAAGUGAAGAUUUUACAACAAAACCACAUUUAGUCAAUCCCUAAAUAUUUUACAUGUGUAUCCAACAUGAAAAACAAGACACUUUUUGAAGAAAAUAGGAGGAGCCCUUACCUUUUGUAUAAUAGUUGCUUGCUUAUACAAAUAUGUGAUAAAUUUGAAUAAGUUAUUUUUCAUAUACACUAGUUUAAGACAUGUAUAUAGCCUUAUCACUCGGUAACCCUAAAUAGUUGAAGAAUUGUCAUUCCACAUAGUUGUUGUAUACACAGAUAAAGGUUCUACCUUGUUUUGCCAUCCCAAAUCUGACAAACUUUAACCUCAAAUUGGUAUCCACCAUCAUUUUUUGUCAUUCAUUGUCGUUGAACAAAAUCCACUAAACAUAGAGAAUUACUUUAACGAUGAUAUUAAAGAUAAAGAAUAUUAUAUAAAUGGAACAUGUAAGAAGAUAAUGACAUAUGGACAAUGUGUUUAGAAUGAAAAUAUGCUUGACUAAACAAAAUAUUCCAAGUUUCAUUACAAACAUGGGUUUAGAAAACUUGAAUAUAAUUACCUUCUUUUUUUUUUACAUUUCCAUGUCAGAAUGCUUUUGUAGAUUAGGUCAAAAUAUUACCAUCUUUGGGAAGCAACAUUGGAAAUUUUAAUAGUCAAGUUUUGAUAGGUAUACACAGUUACAUGCUAAAGACAUUGUCCAUUUGUUAUUGAAUUUUUACAAGUCUGAAUACAUUUAUAGUCUUUACUUUAAUUUUGUUGUUAAGCUAAUUUUAAAUAUUGGAUAUUGUUUAAGGGAUAUUAAAUUAGUAAAAUAUUUUUGGAUUCUAGUAUGACAACAAAGUUUGUUAUUUUGGGAUGACAAAGCAUGAUAAAGCUUAUAUUUUCCUGCUUGUGCUAAUGUUAAUGGCAUGAUAAUGUUUAGGACAUUUUAUAUUUGGACUACAUUUUACUAUAUUGUCUUUCUUGCAAUUUGCCAAAAGAAGAUAUCAUCUCAUUCAUUCAAUAAAUUUCAAUUUACAUUGUUGAGUAUUUAUACAUUGAAGAAGAAAAAGGAAGGAAGAAAUGAAGCUGGUUCUGUUAUAACAGAAUCUGUUUUCUUGGUUAGCAAGAAAACGAAAAUGUAUCUAAUCUAGGCUAGAUGCAUCAAUGAAUGAUAAGGCUAUAAUGAAUCCAGGUACAUUUAGUAUGAAUUGAAGUAAAAGUAGACUAGAUUCAUUUGUUGAUGAGUAGCUUACGAAGCAAGGCACUUGUUGGUAGCUUAUCUUCCUUUGUUUUGUUGCUGGAAAGUAUAUCAAUAGCCUCCCUCAAGCUGGAGAAUAGAGAUUGAUGAUUCCCAGCUUGGCAAGAAGAUAGUGAAAAGGAGAUGGAUCCAAGGGUUUUGUGAGAAUGUUAGCCACCUGUUCAGCAGAGGGAAUAGGUAGAAGAUGAAAGAGUUUUGCCUGUAAUCGUUCUCUAACAACAUGACAAUCAAUGUCAAUGUGUUUAGUUCUCUCAUGGAACACUGAAUUAGCAACAAUGUGUCUUGCAGAAUUAUUAUCACAAUACAAAACAGUAGGAGCAGAGAGGGAGAUGUGGAAGUUGGCAAAUAGAUAAGUGAGCCACUGAAGCUCAUAAGCAGUGGCAGCCAAAGCUCUGUACUCAGCUUCUGAAGAAGAACGAGCAACAGUGCUUUGUUUCUUAGUUCUCCAUGAAAUCAGAGAGUGGUCAAGAAACACACAGUAACCAGAAAUUGAUUUCCUUGAAUCAAGGCAUGCACCCCAAUCUGAGUCACUGAAAGCUUUAAGUUGAAGAGAAGAGUUGGAGGAAUAGAAAAGUCCCUGCCCUGGAGAUCCUUUAAUAUAUCUCAAUACUCGAGUGAGAGCUUGAUGGUGCAUGAUUGUAGGAUUAGUCAAAAACUAACUUAAUUGCUGCACAGAAUAAGAUAAAUCUGGUCAUGUAUUUGUCAAAUAUAGUAGCCUACCAACCAGUCUUCUGUAGGAGACUGGAUCAACCAGUGUGUUAGAAGGAUCCUGAUGAAGUUUUGUGGUUUUGACCAUAGGGGUAGAGACUAGUUUGGAGGCAAGAAAACCAGUAUCUGAUAAUAUGUCAAGAGCAUAUUUCCUUUGACAAAGGGUUAUCCCAUCAUGAGACCUAGCAACCUCCAAGCUAAGGAAGUAUCUCAAUGUCCCCAAUUCUUUUAUUUUGAACUCAGAAUCAAGGUGAUGUUUCACAAAGGAAAUUUCCUUGAAAUCAUUUCCACCUAGGAUCAUAUCAUCAACAUAUAUAAGUAAGGUAGUGAAUUUUGAAUUGUUCUUCUUAGUGAAUAAAGAGUGAUCAUGAGUGGAUUGUUUAUAGCCAAUUGAGAUCAAAGAAGAGGACAAUUUGUUAUACCACUACCUGCUUGCUUGUUUAAGUCCAUAAAGGGACUUAUGCAAUUUGCAGACUUGAUUUGGUUUUGAAGUGAGGACACCAUCAGGGAUAGUCAUAUACACAUCUUCUUCUAAAUCACCAUGCAAAAAGGCAUUGUUCACAUCAAGUCGAUGAAGCAACCAGUUUUGAGAUGCUGCAAUGGCCAACAAUAAUCUCACAAUUGUAAGUUUGAUGACUGGUGCAAAUGUAUCAAAGAAAUCAACCCCUUCAAUUUGAUUAUAACCUUUCGCAACAAGUCUGGCUUUGUAUCUCUCUAUGCUGCCAUCUGACUUGUAUUUGAUUCUAUAAACCCAUUUGGAACCAAUGGGAACCUUGUCACUAGGCAAGUCAACUAAACUCCAAGUGUUGUUCAAUUCUAGUGCAUUUAAUUCAGCUUGCAUAGCCUUGACCCAAUGAGGAGACUUGACAGCUUGACUAUAGUGUUUAGGUUCAACAUUGGUGGUGAUGGACAAAAUAUGACUGAGACAUGGUUGUUUAAUGUUUGUAUAAGACAAAACAGAGGAUAGAGGAUGAGAAAUACCUUUCUAUGAUGAUGGAGGAGAUGAAGUGAGAAUGUUGCAGUGAAAGUCUCUAAAGUAUAUGGGAGGAUGUCUUAGUCUGUUUGAUUUUCGGGUGUGUGAUGGUAAGGGAGAGGUGAUAGGCUCAGUUGAUGUUGGAAUAUUGUUGGAGGUUGGUAUGGAUUGGUAGGAAGGUGAAAGAGAAUGGUUUN